Molecule: small RNA, 499 nt
Filed under: Pongo abelii (Sumatran orangutan)
Lineage: Eukaryota; Metazoa; Chordata; Mammalia; Primates; Hominidae
Description: processed transcript
Source: RNAcentral
AUCCUUCUGAGAAAUUCCUAAGGCUCAAUGCUGUGUGGAAGUUUCUAAGAAAGAAAAUAGUUUCCGAUCUUUGGGAUUCCCCUGAGAUGGUCCAAUCUGCAAAAAGUUCAUCGCCCUUUCCAUCAAGGACACUGAGAACAAGAGUCUUAUCCAGAUUGGAUCCUUGGAAUUGAGAAGCUUCAGCAGGGCUUCCGCUGGGACUAGGAUCAGGAUGUGCACCUCCCCAACCUGGACCGUCUGGCCGGGGAGGGCGUCAAGGCCAAGUACCUCAUGCCACCCUUUCUCACGAUGACCUCCCCGUCCCACUUCACUGCCAUCCUGGCCACUCCCAGAGCCCCUGGAAUUCUGGCCCAAGGCUCUCUGACUGACUCCUUCCCAGAUCUUCUUGGUAUAGCAGCUGAAGACUGACACUGCCCGAUCAAUCGCCUCGGAAGCCUACAGGACCAUCACAGAUGCUCUAGGUAACUCUCACAGUGGAGGACAGCUUUAAAGACUGCCC